UCGUUUCGGGGUCCGAACACGGCUUCACAGUGCGCCUGCAGGCUGUCCCUAAUUUUCCCUGAAUUUUUCCCGGGGAACUGAAACGCACUACUGGUACCUGCAUGUGUUCCAAAAAAAUCCCAAAUUAGGCCCAAGGCCCCUUUCGGCCAAUAUCGCAACUCCGGCACGGCGGCUCCGCCGUGCUCCGGCGACGGUGCCGCCGCUUGCGGCGGCGGUUCGC
RNAcentral lists this long non-coding RNA (220 nucleotides) under Carica papaya (papaya). RNAcentral's name for it is "long non-coding RNA (CPAP_LNC015114)". The record is from RNAcentral. Lineage: Eukaryota; Viridiplantae; Streptophyta; Magnoliopsida; Brassicales; Caricaceae.